Molecule: transfer RNA, 73 nt
Filed under: Paramuricea clavata
Lineage: Eukaryota; Metazoa; Cnidaria; Anthozoa; Malacalcyonacea; Plexauridae
Rfam family: tRNA
About the family: Transfer RNA (tRNA) molecules are approximately 80 nucleotides in length.
Source: Rfam by way of RNAcentral
GCCUCUGUAGCUCAGUUGGUUGGAGCGCUGCACCGGAAUCGCAGGGCCGCAGGUUCGAUUCCUACCAGGGACA